AAGCGGUCACAGCUUAAUCGACAAUCCUCGCUCCUAUUGAAGCGUUGGAAUUGUAGUCUUGGCAUUCGAACGGCGCUGGAUGAUGGGUAAUUCGAUGGAAAUCGAGGUCGUAGAGGGUGACAGCCCCGUGUGCUUGUCGUUCCGGCGUCACUGUUCGUUUGUCUAUCGAGUAGCGUUCCUUGGGAAUGGAGCGUGAAGUGGGUGGUGAUAUCCAUCUAAAGCUAAAUAUUGGCGAGAGACCGAUAGCGAACAAGUACCGUGAGGGAAAGAUGAAAAGCACUUUGGAGAGAGAGUUAAACAGUAUGCGAAAUCGUUGGAAGCAAGCGAAUCAGUGGGUUUAUGCGCGGCUCUGUGUUUCCGGGGACUCGUGUCGGAGUGUGGCUCCUCUGGAGCUGCCUGUGGCGCUGCCAGUCUCUCGGCUACGGGGUGAGGUUUUGGCGCAUGGCUUCGGCCAGCUUUCUGAUCCGACCCGUCUUGAAACACGGACCAAGGAGUCUAAUAUGUGUGCGAGUGCUUGGGCGUGAAACCCCAGCGCGAAGGUAACCCGAUAACGCGUUAGCCGUUCUGCGGCGCAUCGCGGGUAGUGUUUUAUUCCCUAACAAGAGC
RNAcentral lists this ribosomal RNA (606 nucleotides) under Lamprotripus mawsoni. Its description in RNAcentral is "partial large subunit ribosomal RNA". It matches the Rfam family "Eukaryotic large subunit ribosomal RNA", at positions 96 to 801 of the family's 3401-position model. Lineage: Eukaryota; Polycystinea; Nassellaria; Plagiacanthidae. The record is from RNAcentral.